RNAcentral lists this transfer RNA (71 nucleotides) under Cordyceps militaris CM01. RNAcentral's name for it is "tRNA-Gly (GCC) (tRNA-Gly-GCC-1-1)". It matches the Rfam family "tRNA". Rfam says of the family: Transfer RNA (tRNA) molecules are approximately 80 nucleotides in length. Their secondary structure includes four short double-helical elements and three loops (D, anti-codon, and T loops). Further hydrogen bonds mediate the characteristic L-shaped molecular structure. tRNAs have two regions of fundamental functional importance: the anti-codon, which is responsible for specific mRNA codon recognition, and the 3' end, to which the tRNAs corresponding amino acid is attached (by aminoacyl-tRNA synthetases). tRNAs cope with the degeneracy of the genetic code in two manners: having more than one tRNA (with a specific anti-codon) for a particular amino acid; and 'wobble' base-pairing, i.e. permitting non-standard base-pairing at the 3rd anti-codon position. Lineage: Eukaryota; Fungi; Ascomycota; Sordariomycetes; Hypocreales; Cordycipitaceae. The record is from RNAcentral.
GCGUUAUUGGUUUAGUGGUAAAAUUCUCCGUUGCCAUCGGGGAGCCCUGGGUUCGAUUCCCAGAUAACGCA